RNAcentral lists this ribosomal RNA (498 nucleotides) under uncultured bacterium. RNAcentral's name for it is "partial 16S ribosomal RNA". It matches the Rfam family "Bacterial small subunit ribosomal RNA", at positions 28 to 507 of the family's 1533-position model. The record is from RNAcentral.
GACGAACGCUGGCGGCGUGCCUAAUACAUGCAAGUCGAACGAGAGCGACCGGUGCUUGCACUGGUCAAUCUAGUGGCGAACGGGUGAGUAACACGUGGGUAACCUGCCCAUCAGAGGGGGAUAACAUCCGGAAACGGAUGCUAAAACCGCAUAGGUCUUCGAACCGCAUGGUUUGAAGAGGAAAAGAGGCGCAAGCUUCUGCUGAUGGAUGGACCCGCGGUGCAUUAGCUAGUUGGUGAGGUAACGGCUCACCAAGGCCGUGAUGCAUAGCCGACCUGAGAGGGUGAUCGGCCACAUUGGGACUGAGACACGGCCCAAACUCCUACGGGAGGCAGCAGUAGGGAAUCUUCCGCAAUGGACGCAAGUCUGACGGAGCAACGCCGCGUGAGUGAAGAAGGUUUUCGGAUCGUAAAACUCUGUUGUUAGAGAAGAACAAGUGCUAGAGUAACUGUUAGCGCCUUGACGGUAUCUAACCAGAAAGCCACGGCUAAUUACGUG